GUGUAUAUAGUAUAGGGUUUAUGUUCAAUUUAUGUUUGAGAGAUGUAAAGUACAUA
This 56-nucleotide transfer RNA is filed under the name Ascaridia sp. GHL-2013. RNAcentral describes it as "tRNA-Leu". The record is from RNAcentral. Lineage: Eukaryota; Metazoa; Nematoda; Chromadorea; Rhabditida; Ascaridiidae.